AACGCAUAUUGCACUUUCUGGUAUUCCGGGGAGUAUGCCUGUUUGAGGGUCAGUAAAUAAUAAUUAUCAUAAUCUUUUGAUUGUGGAAUUGGGCCUUUAUUUCAUUAAUGAUUUAUGGCCUCAAAUUUACGUUACCGCUUGUUUAAUAUGAAAUUCGACCGAAUGGAGCAAUUAAACAUUCUCUCGUUAGGCGGAUUCAUCAAGCAAUUACGAUUUUUUGGCCGUCGAAGCACUUUUUUUUAGAAGUGCUUGGUCGAGAUUGUAAGAUACAUUUAACAAUGACCUCAAAUCAGGCAAGAAUACCCGCUGAACUUAA
Molecule: ribosomal RNA, 316 nt
Filed under: uncultured Entrophospora
Lineage: Eukaryota; Fungi; Glomeromycota; Glomeromycetes; Entrophosporales; Entrophosporaceae
Description: eukaryotic LSU rRNA
Source: RNAcentral